Balaenoptera acutorostrata (minke whale) is the source of this 1336-nucleotide long non-coding RNA. RefSeq lists it as uncharacterized. The transcript is spliced from 3 exons. NCBI's taxonomy places the organism in Eukaryota, Metazoa, Chordata, Mammalia, Artiodactyla, Balaenopteridae. The record is from RefSeq and is a predicted model, not a curated record.
AUUGGCGGGCCGGGGAGGGAGGGCUGGGCCGCGCCGGCGGCGGAGGGAUACGGGCCGCCCCUGUGAGUACCUUACGUGCUGUCGCCGUCGCCGCCACGGCCGCCGAGACGAUGACGCCGCGAAGCGCAAGGAGGAGAUCUCGCGAGACCUGUGGUGAGGGUCGCAGAAGCUCCCUCACUACGACCCUUGAGUCCUUUACCUGUGGUCCCUCAUUCGCGUGACAUCUGAGAUCAAUAAAAGUUAAAAGCGAAUGUUUUUCAGAUCACUCGACCAUCCCCAGAGCAUAGACGGACCCGAGAAGAGCACUUAGGUCCAUUGCAAUGUUCCUGAAGGAGGAAAGGACUUGUCCAAGGUCACACGGCUCCACAGUGGCAAAGCUGGGACUUCCCUUAAGUCGAGAGGUUCGUCAAAUCCCUCUCUGGAAGCCGCGUGGCAACAGCCUGGGCACCUGCGGGAACGUGGUUGUACAAGCACGCCGCAGGCAGCCCUGAGAUGGUGUUUCCGACGAAGGCCCCAGCUGAGAGACAGUUUGAAUGUCUCAGCCACUGGCAUGUCAGGAGAAGUGCUCUGCUUGGGACCUUGAAGAUCAUCGAUUAACAGAGGAGAAACUGGAGCCCCUAAGGAAAAGGAUCUUGCCAAAAGUCACACAAUAGAUCAUCAGCAAAACUUGUACUGCCUCAUCUACUGAGUAGAGGCUGGACCCAUAGGGCAGGGCCACCAUGGACCCAGGCUUCCCUGGUGGUGAAGAAUCCGCCUGCCAAUGCAGGGAACACGGGUUUGAGCCCUGGGCCGGGAAGAUCACACGUGCCGCAGAGCAACUAAGCCCGUGUGCCACAACUACUGAGCCUGCGCUCCAGAUCCCACGAGCCACAACUACUGAGCCCACGUGCCACAACUACGGAAGCCCGCACGCCUAGAGCCUGUGCUCCACAACAAGAGAAGCCACCGCAAUGAGAAGCCCGUGCACCACAAUGAAGAGCAGCCCCCGCUCACCGCAACUAGAGAAAGCCCGGGCGCAGCAAUGAAGAUCCAAUGCAGCCAUAAAUAAAUAAAUAAAAUUAAUAAAUUUAAAAAAAUAUAUUGCUAUAGUGAAAAAAAUAUACUGCUAUAGUGGAUAUUCUGUAGUUGAUCUUUGUACAACUCUAAGAGGGCUUUUUGGUAUAAAUUCCUAGGAAUGAAAUUGCUAUAUCAAAGACUGAUCAGAUUUUUGCAUCUAUGUUCAUGAGGGAUAAGGGUUUAUAAUUUUCUUUUCUUGUAAUAUCUUUGUCAACUUUUCAUAUCAACGUUAUUCUUGCCUCAUAAAAUAAAUCGGAAAGUGUUCCUCCUCUAUGUUCUG